GAUCGUAAAGCUCUGUUGUUAGGGAAGAACAAGUGCAAGAGUAACUGCUUGCACCUUGACGGUACCUAACCAGAAAGCCACGGCUAACUACGUGCCAGCAGCCGCGGUAAUACGUAGGUGGCAAGCGUUGUCCGGAAUUAUUGGGCGUAAAGGGCUCGCAGGCGGUUUCYUAAGUCUGAUGUGAAAGCCCCCGGCUCAACCGGGGAGGGUCAUUGGAAACUGGGAAACUUGAGUGCAGAAGAGGAGAGUGGAAUUCCACGUGUAGCGGUGAAAUGCGUAGAGAUGUGGAGGAACACCAGUGGCGAAGGCGACUCUCUGGUCUGUAACUGACGCUGAGGAGCGAAAGCGUGGGGAGCGAACAGGAUUAGAUACCCUGGUAGUCCACGCCGUAAACGAUGAGUGCUAAGUGUUWAGGGGGUUUC
This 422-nucleotide ribosomal RNA is filed under the name Bacillus pumilus. RNAcentral's name for it is "bacterial SSU rRNA". It matches the Rfam family "Bacterial small subunit ribosomal RNA", at positions 421 to 835 of the family's 1533-position model. Lineage: Bacteria; Bacillati; Bacillota; Bacilli; Caryophanales; Bacillaceae. The record is from RNAcentral.